RNAcentral lists this ribosomal RNA (253 nucleotides) under uncultured bacterium. RNAcentral describes it as "partial 16S ribosomal RNA". It matches the Rfam family "Bacterial small subunit ribosomal RNA", at positions 524 to 776 of the family's 1533-position model. The record is from RNAcentral. RNAcentral also lists the same sequence under 1 other name.
UACGAAGGGGGCUAGCGUUGUUCGGAUUUACUGGGCGUAAAGCGCGCGUAGGCGGGCAUUUAAGUCAGGGGUGAAAUCCCAGGGCUCAACCCUGGAACGGCCUUUGAUACUGGAUGCCUGGAGAUCGGGAGAGGUUGGUGGAAUUCCGAGUGUAGAGGUGAAAUUCGUAGAUAUUCGGAGGAACACCAGAAGCGAAGGCGGCCAACUGGCCCGAUACUGACGCUGAGGCGCGAAAGCGUGGGGAGCAAACAGG